RNAcentral lists this ribosomal RNA (170 nucleotides) under Enterobacter hormaechei. Its description in RNAcentral is "partial 16S ribosomal RNA". It matches the Rfam family "Bacterial small subunit ribosomal RNA", at positions 1 to 164 of the family's 1533-position model. The record is from RNAcentral. Lineage: Bacteria; Pseudomonadati; Pseudomonadota; Gammaproteobacteria; Enterobacterales; Enterobacteriaceae.
AAAUUGAAGAGUUUGAUCAUGGCUCAGAUUGAACGCUGGCGGCAGGCCUAACACAUGCAAGUCGAACGGUAACAGGAAGCAGCUUGCUGCUUCGCUGACGAGUGGCGGACGGGUGAGUAAUGUCUGGGAAACUGCCUGAUGGAGAGGGAUAACUACUGGAAACGGUAGCU